UGUGGGAGCGAGCUUGCUCGCGAUAGUGGUAUGUCAGUCACAUAAGGCUGACUGAUCCACCGCUAUCGCGAGCAAGCUCGCUCCCACA
RNAcentral lists this unclassified non-coding RNA (88 nucleotides) under Pseudomonas brassicacearum. The record is from RNAcentral. Lineage: Bacteria; Pseudomonadati; Pseudomonadota; Gammaproteobacteria; Pseudomonadales; Pseudomonadaceae.